GAUGAAGAACGUAGCGAAAUGCGAUACUUGGUGUGAAUUGCAGAAUCUCGUGAACCAUCGAGUCUUUGAACGCAAGUUGCGCCCGAAGCCAUUAGGCCGAGGGCACGCCUGCCUGGGCGUCACACGUCGUUGCCCCCCCAUCUACUCCUUCGGGAUUGCGGGGGGCGGAUGAUGGCCUCUCGUGCGCCUCGUCGCGCGGUUGGCCUAAAUGCCAAGUCCUCGGCGACGCACGCCACGACAAUCGGUGGUUGCGAAACCUCGGUUGCCUGUCGUGUGCGGUCGUCGCGCAUCGAGGGCUCGAAAAAAUUGCCGGGCUUCGGCUCGACUUUCAACGCGACCCCAGGUCAGGCGGGGUUACCCGCUGAAUUUAAGCAUAUCAAUAAGCGGAGGA
RNAcentral lists this unclassified non-coding RNA (391 nucleotides) under soil metagenome. Its description in RNAcentral is "partial contains 5.8S ribosomal RNA, internal transcribed spacer 2, and large subunit ribosomal RNA". The stretch from base 1 to 122 matches the Rfam family "5.8S ribosomal RNA", at positions 35 to 154 of the family's 154-position model. The record is from RNAcentral.